Dama dama (fallow deer) is the source of this 492-nucleotide non-coding RNA. Lineage: Eukaryota; Metazoa; Chordata; Mammalia; Artiodactyla; Cervidae. The record is from the annotation of a RefSeq genome assembly.
AAAUUCAGGCUCCUCCUCAGGCUUGAAGAGAUUUCAGGAGCGGUGACUCUCAUCUGCUCGAAGAUGAGCCCACUGUGGACCUUCCUCUUCGUGCUGUCAGCUCCCAGCGGGGUCCUGUCCCAGGUGCGGCUGCAGGAGUCGGGACCCAGCCUGGUGAAGCCCUCACAGACCCUCUCCCUCACCUGCGCUGUCUCUGGAUUCUCACUAACCAGCCAUCCUGUAGAGUGGGUCCGCCAGGCUCCAGGAAUGGGUCUGGAAUGGGUUGGUGCAAUAGAUUAUAAUGGAAACACAUACUAUAACGCAGCUCUGAAAUCCCGGCUCAGCAUCACCAGGGACACCUCCAAGAGCCAAGUCUCUCUCUCACUGAGCAGCGUGACACCAGAGGACACGGCCGUGUAUUACUGUGCAAGAGACACAACCAAGUGUUCCAGAUCUGAAGACCAGGGUGUCCUGUCCCAGGUGCAGCUGCAGGUUCCGGCCCAGGACUGGUGA